UCUAUUUAGGCGGUAAUCGCGUAAAGUUUAGGAUUUUAAGGAGACAGGUGUCAGAUAGAU
This 60-nucleotide transfer RNA is filed under the name Bactrurus brachycaudus. RNAcentral describes it as "tRNA-Leu". Lineage: Eukaryota; Metazoa; Arthropoda; Malacostraca; Amphipoda; Crangonyctidae. The record is from RNAcentral.